GAUGAAGAACGUAGCGAAAUGCGAUAAGUAGUGUGAAUUGCAGAAUUCAGUGAAUCAUCGAAUCUUUGAACGCACAUUGCGCCCCUUGGUAUUCCAUGGGGCAUGCCUGUUCGAGCGUCAUUUGUACCUUCAAGCUUUGCUUGGUAUUGGGUGUUUGUCUCGCCUUUGCGUGUAGACUCGCCUUAAAAUAAUUGGCAGCCGGCGUAUUGAUUUCGGAGCGCAGUACAUCUCGCGCUUUGCACUCAUAACGACAGCGUCCAAAAGUACAUUUUACACUCUUGACCUCGGAUCAGGUAGGGAUACCCGCUGAACUUAAGCAUAUCAAUAAGCGGAGGA
Molecule: unclassified non-coding RNA, 336 nt
Filed under: soil metagenome
Description: partial contains 5.8S ribosomal RNA, internal transcribed spacer 2, and large subunit ribosomal RNA
Rfam family: 5.8S ribosomal RNA (bases 1-120)
Source: RNAcentral